This 254-nucleotide ribosomal RNA is filed under the name uncultured bacterium. RNAcentral describes it as "partial 16S ribosomal RNA". It matches the Rfam family "Bacterial small subunit ribosomal RNA", at positions 524 to 776 of the family's 1533-position model. The record is from RNAcentral.
UACAGAGGUCUCAAGCGUUGUUCGGAUUUACUGGGCGUAAAGGGCGCGUAGGCGGCCUCCGCAAGUCAGUUGUGAAAUCUCCGAGCUUAACUCGGAAAGGUCAACUGAUACUGCGGGGCUAGAGUGCGGAAGGGGCAACUGGAAUUCUUGGUGUAGCGGUGAAAUGCGUAGAUAUCAAGAGGAACACCUGCGGCGAAGGCGGGUUGCUGGGCCGACACUGACGCUGAGGCGCGAAAGCUAGGGGAGCGAACGGG